This 293-nucleotide ribosomal RNA is filed under the name uncultured prokaryote. Its description in RNAcentral is "partial 16S ribosomal RNA". It matches the Rfam family "Archaeal small subunit ribosomal RNA", at positions 455 to 747 of the family's 1478-position model. The record is from RNAcentral.
GUGCCAGCCGCCGCGGUAAUACCGGCAGCCCGAGUGAUGGCCGAUAUUAUUGGGCCUAAAGCGUCCGUAGCUGGCCGCGUACGUCCGUCGGGAAAUCCACGCGCUCAACGCGUGGGCGACCGACGGAGUCGGCGCGGCUUGGGACCGGAAGGCGCGACGGGUACGUCCGGGGUAGGAGUGAAAUCCUAUAAUCCCGGACGGACCGCCGAUGGCGAAAGCACGUCGCGAGGACGGCUCCGACAGUGAGGGACGAAAGCUGGGGUCUCGAACCGGAUUAGAUACCCGUGUAGUCC